GUCAACCAAAUAAAAGCAGCCCCACCAAUCUGUGGGGGAGAAAAGCCGCUGGUUCAAUGAAGUGAUCUAUUCAACUCAGUGUUUCUCUCUCUUGCUCUCUUCAUUAAUUCCAUACUGUCCUGCCUUUUCAUCCUUUCUGUCUUUUGUUUUCUGUCUCUCUUACUUUUUAUUCCCCUCCUUCUUUCUCUGGCUGGCUGAGCUCUGACAAGGGGAUAGAAUCAAGAGUUUGGGAGAGGAGAGGGACAUUUGGGAGCGAGAUGGCGAGUGGGACGGUGGCGUUGUUCCUGUAUGGAUUCCUGCUCCUGUCUCUGUGGAAACCUUCACUGCAAGGAGGUGUAUACAUACCUGCUGGUGUAGGUGAAGCUGGGGCUGGAUUAGGAGCUGGAGCAGGAGUCAGAGCUGGAUUUGGUCCAGGUGGAGCUGGCACCAGUUUUGGGCCUGGUGGUGUAGGCACUGGAUAUGGGCCAGGUGGCGGAGCCGGAGUUGGACCAGGAGGUGUAGGUGGAGCUGGGGCUGGUCCAGGAGGUGCAGGCUUUGGCCCUGGAGCCGGUGGAGGUUACACCAAGCCAGGGAAGACGGGAGCUGGCUAUGGUGGUCAGGUUGUAGGCCAAGGCCAAGGCCAAGGAGGACUGGGGACUGGAGGUCUGGGGGAAGGAAGAGUUAGACCAGAAGGAGCUGGGGCCGGACCAGGAGGUUAUGGACAUGGCGGUGGUUUAGGAGCUGGAGGCCUUGGAGCAGGAGCUGGCAAUGGAGGUUGGGGUCCUGGAGGACAGGGGGCUGGACUAGGAGCUGGAGGUCUGGGAGGAGGAGGUCUUAGACCAGGAGCCAGACCAGGAGGUUAUGGACCAGGUGGUUAUGGGCCUGGUGCUGAUCUUAGUCUGGGCGGAGCUGUAGCUGGAGGUCUUGGUGGUGGUUACGGACUUGGCGGGGGUCUAGGUGCCGGAGGCCUUGGAGCAGGAGCUGGAGGAAAGCCAGAGAAGGCAGGAGCUGGCUACGGUGGUAGAGAUCCAGGAGGACAGGGGGCUGGACUGGGUGUUGGAGGUUUUGGACCAGGUGGCUAUGGACCAGGUGGAGCUGGUGCUGGACCAGGUGGCUAUGGGCUUGGUGUUGGUCUUGGUCCUGGGGGAGCUGGUCCUGGAGUUUUUGGUGGUGGUUAUGGACCCGAUGGAACAGGAGCCAGUGGGAAGCCUUCCAAAACAGAUGAGCUGGCUAUGUAGGUCGCAGUCCUGGGGGACAGGGGGCUGGAUUAGGAGCUGGAGGCUAUGGACCAGGUGGAGCUGGACCAGGAGGAUAUGGGCCUGGUUCUGGUGUUGGCCAGGGUGGAGCUGGUCCAGGUGGUUUUGGUGGUGGUCUUGGAGCUGGCGGACAAGGAGAUGCCCUUGGAGCUGGGUAUGGAGGUCUCGGAGCUGGGGGACUGGGAUCCAGAGGUACAGGUCAGGGGGCUGGAGGACUUGGAGCAGGCCAAGGUCUUGGAGCCGGCCAAGGAGAUGGAUACAGACCUGGAGGAGGCUACGGUGGUGCUGCUGGUGGUCUGUACCCUGGAGCUGGAGGGGCGGGGGCAGGCCAGAAACCUCCCAAAACAGGAGCAGGAAGCACACUAGGAGGAGAUGGAUAUGGACCUGGUGGUGCUGGUGGAUAUUGGCCUGGUGGCGCAGGUGGACAUGGGCCUGGUGGCGCAGGUGGACAUGGGCCUGGUGGCGUAGGUGGACAUGGGCCUGGUGGCGUAGGUGGACAUGGGCCUGGUGGCGCAGGAACUGGGCCUGGUGGCGCAGGAACUGGGCCUGGUGGCGCAGGAACUGGGCCUGGUGGCGCAGGAACGGGACCUGGUGGCACAGGUGGAUAUGGUCCUGGUGGCGCAGGAACUGGGCCUAGUGGCACAGGUGGAGUUGGCCUUGGUGGUUUUGGGCCUGGUGGCGCAGCAGUACCAGCUGGAGCACCAGUACUUCCACAGACUGGAGUCCCUGGGGGUGGAGCUAGAGAGAAGAGCGGUUGGAAGGCCAACAAACAAGUGCCAGGUGUUGGAGUACCUGGACUUUAUCAAGGUGGAAUAGUGCCUAGUCAAGGUUUCGGAGGGCGUGGGGUUCUACCAGGUGUUGCCACUGGAUCCGGACUUGCUCCCCAGACAGGGGCAGGUGUGCUGGGCCAGGGUGGAGUUGGAGCUGGCACUGGAGCUGGAGGUGGCCGAGGCAGUUUAAAUGGAGUGUUCCGUGGAUAUCCCCUCAUAUCACCUAAAUCUGGAGGGGCUGGAGGCAAAUCAGCUAAUUCCCAGGCCAAGCUUGCUGCUAAAUAUGCUGGAGCUGGAGGUGUACUUCGUCAAGGGGGCAUGUCGGGAGCAGGAGGAGUACCUAGCGGUGUACCUGGAGCAGGUGGGGUCCCUGGUUAUGGAGUUGGAGCUGGAGGUGUACUUCGUCAAGGGGGCAUGGCCGGAGCAGGAGGUGUACCUAGCGGCGUACCUGGAGCAGAUGGGGUCCCUGGUUAUGGAGUUGGAGCUGGUGGUGUACCUGGUUACGGAGGUGGAGCAGGAGGCAUACCUGGAUUCGGAGGCGUAGCCAGAGCAGGAGGCGUACCUGGUUACGGGGGCGGAGCCGGACCAGGAGGCGUACCUGGGGCAGGGGGCGUCCCUGGCUCAGGUGGGUAUGGAUACCCAGGGGGUUACCCAGGUGGAGGGCGGUACCCAGGGGCUGGCCUAGGUGUAGGAGGUGCCUACCCCGGAGGAGCUGGAUCUAAGGCAGCCAAAUAUGGUCAGGGUGGAGCAGGCACUGGAGCUGGUGGUGGGCUCAGCCAGGGAGUGCCUGCAUCUGGGAUUGGAACCGGAAGACUGCCUGGUGGGGCUGGAGGGGAACCAGGAGGCGGUUACAGGCCUGGCGGUAGCUUCGGUCCUGGAGGUGGAGUUGGACCAGGUGGGGCCAGUUAUGGACCAGGUGGGGCCGGCUAUGGACCAGGUGGAGCUGGACCUGGUGGCUAUGGACCAGGUAGUGCUGGAAGUUAUGGAACAGGUGGAGGGGUUGGACCAGGUGGUGCCGGGGAAGGACAUGGUGGAGCUGGCUAUGGACCAGGUGGAGGAGUUGGUGGAGUGCCUGGUGGUGGACACAGACCCGGAGGUGGUUUACCUGGUAGUGGUGCUGGUUACGGACCUGGUGCUGGUGUUGGAGGAUAUGAUGCAAAUGCUAAAGCUCGUAAAUAUGGUAUGCUAAGUGGUGUCCUUGGGACCCCAGGAGGAGGACAGGCAGCCAGCCUGGGAGGAGUACCAGGAGGGGGAGCAGGGACUGGAGUAGGCCAGGGUGGAGUGCCUGGAUCUGGGCUUGGUGGUGGUGGAGGUGUCCCUGGUGGUUAUGGUCCUGGAGCUGGAUUUGGACCUGGCCGUGGAACCGGUGGUGGUUAUGGACCAGGAGUGGGUGCUGGGACUGGACUUGGCCAGGGAGCAGGGCCUGGAGCUGGGCUUGGUGCUGGUGGAGUGCCUGGUGGUGGAUACAGACCCGGAGGUGGUUUACCUGGUAGUGGUGCUGGUUACGGACCUGGUGCUGGUGUUGGAGGAUAUCCUGCUGGGGCUAAGUCUCUGAAAUACGGUCCAGGAGGAGGUGGAGGAGCUCCGGGUGGAGGCCUUGGUGGGCGAUUCGGUGCCCCGGGAGGAGGUCUGCCAGGAGGAGGCUACGGACCAGGGGCAGGAGGCGCCUUAGGAGCAGGAGAAGCAGGAGCAGGAGGAAGAGUGCCUGGGGGUGGAUACGGGACCGGAGCUGGGCCUGGUGCAGGGUAUGGAGCAGGAACAGGGCCUGGAGCUGGGUACGGUCAGGGAGCAGGAGGAGUCCCUGGAGGAGGCUAUGAAGCUAGGGCAAGAGCAGGAGGACUACCUGGGGCCGGAUAUGGACCUGGAAGAGGUUAGUCAACAGCAGAGCCAGGGGUUCCCUAGGACAGGUUGGGAUAUAGGGGCUAUUUACAAAGCAGCGUUCCUUGUUUGUUGAGAAUAUGUUCUUAAUGAUUUACCUGGUUAAAUAAAGGCAACUAAUAAUAGUUGGACUUGGG
Long non-coding RNA from Oncorhynchus tshawytscha (Chinook salmon), 4020 nucleotides. Lineage: Eukaryota; Metazoa; Chordata; Actinopteri; Salmoniformes; Salmonidae. The record is from Ensembl.